Molecule: long non-coding RNA, 798 nt
Organism: Mastomys coucha (southern multimammate mouse)
Lineage: Eukaryota; Metazoa; Chordata; Mammalia; Rodentia; Muridae
Exons: 2
Source: RefSeq, a predicted model, not a curated record
AGGAGGAGGUAUGCACAAGGCAUCCAACUUCUGGUCAUUGAACCUCUCCAUUCUCAUCAUGAAAUAGAUCCAAAUCAUCUGUUGCAUACCAAGCCUGGAGGCCAUCGACAUCACCAGAUGUGGCAUAUGUGCACAUCAAGCAAGCCUGUGCAGUGGAGCCCAGAAGAGGGCAUUGGAUCUCCUGAAAUGAAUUACAGAUGUUUAGAAGUAGCUGCUGGAAAUCAAACCCAAGCCUUCUGGAAGAGCAGCCAGUGUUCUUAACCACUGAGCCAUGUCUCUAUCCCGAAAAACUGUGCCUUAACAAAAUCAAUACUCAUUUACUUAUAUUAAAAUCUUUCAUAUUAACACCUUACAAGCAACUAUUUAAAGUGAUUUUGAUACAAUUAGUACCCUAUGUCAGUGAUUCUCAAACUUCCUAAUGCUGUGGCCCUGCAUGUGGGGAGACUCACCUGAAGACACCCAGAGGAGCAGUGUCUCAGUUCCUAAGAGCAUCAGAAAUGUGUGUGUUCCAAUGGCCUUACACAACUCCUGUAGGCAUUGUGACCAACAGAUUGAGGACUACUACCCAAUGUAACCCAAUGGGGAGGGAGAGACUUGGGAGGGGCAGGUCGAUCUCUGGGUGUGAGGCCAGCCUGAUCUACAUACUGAGUUCCAGGACAGCCAGCGCUAUGUAGACAGACUGUCUUCCAAAAACAAAAAACAAAAACAAUAUGCCACGAACUAAAAAUAUGUAGACUUGUAUGUCUAAACUCUACUUACUAUGCAAAAGUUUACCGAAUUAGAGACAUUAAUUUAUUA